Molecule: unclassified non-coding RNA, 112 nt
Filed under: Soonwooa buanensis
Lineage: Bacteria; Pseudomonadati; Bacteroidota; Flavobacteriia; Flavobacteriales; Weeksellaceae
Description: Flavo-1 RNA
Source: RNAcentral
AUCUCGCGUGAGCGAUGUUAGCGGAAAUCCUUUGGCUUGGCGCGAGGCGGCGGAGCGUAGCGGAGCCGUCCGAGCGUCAAGCCAAAGAUUGUAGCGGACGUAGCGACCCAAG